This 236-nucleotide small RNA is filed under the name Pogona vitticeps (central bearded dragon). RNAcentral describes it as "7SK RNA (ENSPVIG00000003279.1)". The stretch from base 1 to 182 matches the Rfam family "7SK RNA". From Rfam's summary of the family: 7SK was discovered as an abundant small nuclear RNA in the mid-70s but a possible function has only recently been suggested. Two independent studies have found that 7SK RNA binds the CDK9/cyclin T complex (known as elongation factor P-TEFb). P-TEFb activates transcription by phosphorylating the C-terminal domain of RNA polymerase II. Lineage: Eukaryota; Metazoa; Chordata; Lepidosauria; Squamata; Agamidae. The record is from RNAcentral.
GGAUGUGAGGGCGAUCUGGCUGCGACAUCUGUCACCCCAUUGAUCGCCAGGGUUGAUUCGGCUGAUCUGGCUGGCUAGGCGGGUGUCCCCUUCCUCCCUCACCGCUCCAUGUGCGUCCCUCCCGAAGCUGCGCGCUCGGUGGAAGAGGAAAUAUAACACACCAGACGUAGUAGUGAUACAACAAAGAAAUGUCUGGACUUUCCCUCUAAUUUCCAGCCCUGGUGGGCAGGGCUCUG